Molecule: ribosomal RNA, 410 nt
Filed under: uncultured bacterium
Lineage: Bacteria
Description: partial 16S ribosomal RNA
Rfam family: Bacterial small subunit ribosomal RNA
Source: RNAcentral
UGGGGAAUUUUGGACAAUGGGCGCAAGCCUGAUCCAGCCAUGCCGCGUGCGGGAAGAAGGCCUUCGGGUUGUAAACCGCUUUGUCAGGGAAGAAAUCUUCUGAGUUAAUACCUCGGGAGGAUGACGGUACCUGAAGAAUAAGCACCGGCUAACUACGCGCCAGCAGCCGCGGUAAUACGUAGGGUGCAAGCGUUAAUCGGAAUUACUGGGCGUAAAGCGUGCGCAAGGCGGUUUUGUAAGACAGAGGUGAAAAUCCCCGGGCUCAACCUGGGAACUGCCUUUGUGACUGCAAGGCUUGAGUGCGGCAGAGGGGGGAUGGAAUUCCGCGUGUAGCAGUGAAAUGCGUAGAUAUGCGGAGGAACACCGAUGGCGAAGGCAAUCCCCUGGGCCUGCACUGACGCUCAUGCACG